CGGCGAGUGAAGCGGCAACAGCUCAAAUUUGAAAUCUGGCUUCGGCCCGAGUUGUAAUUUGCAGAGGAUGCUUCUGGCGCGGUGCCUUCCGAGUUCCCUGGAACGGGACGCCACAGAGGGUGAGAGCCCCGUAUGGUCGGACACCAAGCCUGUGUGAAGCUCCUUCGACGAGUCGAGUAGUUUGGGAAUGCUGCUCUAAAUGGGAGGUAAAUCUCUUCUAAAGCUAAAUACCGGCCAGAGACCGAUAGCGCACAAGUAGAGUGAUCGAAAGAUGAAAAGCACCUUGAAAAGGGGGUUAAAUAGUACGUGAAAUUGUUGAAAGGGAAGCGUUUAUGACCAGACUUGCGCCGGGCGGCUCAUCAGGGGUUCUCCCCUGUGCAUUCCGCCCGGCUCAGGCCAGCAUCGGUUCUCGUGGGGGGAUAAGACCGCCGGGAACGUAGCACCCUCCGGGGUGUGUUAUAGCCCGGCGGACGAUACCCUCGUGGGGACCGAGGUUCGCGCUCCGCAAGGAUGCUGGCGUAAUGGUCAUCAGCGACCCGUCUUGAAACACG
Molecule: ribosomal RNA, 551 nt
Filed under: Phomopsis sp. MAFF 625023
Lineage: Eukaryota; Fungi; Ascomycota; Sordariomycetes; Diaporthales; Diaporthaceae
Description: eukaryotic LSU rRNA
Rfam family: Eukaryotic large subunit ribosomal RNA
Source: RNAcentral